GCACUACUGAUGAGUCCCAAAUAGGGCGAAACAGCUGUCCAAUGC
Molecule: non-coding RNA, 45 nt
Filed under: Echinostoma caproni
Lineage: Eukaryota; Metazoa; Platyhelminthes; Trematoda; Plagiorchiida; Echinostomatidae
Source: RNAcentral